GAUGAACGCUGGCGGCGUGCCUCAAACAUGCAAGUCGAGCGGGGCUAUGUAAUAUCGCAAGGUAGAACAUAGCCUAGCGGCGAACGGGUGAGUAACACGUGGGUAACCUGCCUGGAAGACAGGGAUAACGAUUCGAAAGGGUCGCUAAUACCUGAUAAUAUCCUUUCAUCGCAUGGUGAUAGGAAGAAAGGGGAAACCCGCUUUCAGAUGGGCCCGCGUCCCAUCAGCUAGUUGGUAAGGUAAAGGCUUACCAAGGCGACGACGGGUAGCCGGUCUGAGAGGAUGUACGGCCACACUGGGACUGAGAUACGGCCCAGACUCCUACGGGAGGCAGCAGUUGGGAAUCUUCCACAAUGGGCGAAAGCCUGAUGGAGCGACGCCGCGUGAGCGAAGAAGGCCUUCGGGUUGUAAAGCUCUGUCUGGAGGGACGAAGGAAGUGACGGUACCUCCGGAGGAAGCCACGGCUAACUACGUGCCAGCAGCCACGGUAAUGAGUAGUACA
RNAcentral lists this ribosomal RNA (502 nucleotides) under uncultured bacterium. RNAcentral's name for it is "bacterial SSU rRNA". It matches the Rfam family "Bacterial small subunit ribosomal RNA", at positions 28 to 536 of the family's 1533-position model. The record is from RNAcentral.